GAGAGCGGACAGCGGAACUAAUCAGCAUAUACUCGGCGGCGCUCGUUGUUGUUCGAACUUCUAGAGAAGCGGAUGAGUUUCAUGGUUCUUUAAUGACGUGCAGUUCAGGUGUGUUUCAUAUGCCUGUUUAAGGUUAUGGUGGGUUGUUCGUCGUCAUUGUCGUUCACUGAACGUUUUAAUCAGAAGUCCGGUUCAACAUACGACUGCUGAGUGACUAUAAACUUACUGCAUGCUGCUGUUUUGCUUAACUUCACGGAUAUAUGACUGCUGAGUGACUACAAACUUACUGCAUACUGCUGUUUUGCUUAACUUCACGGAUAUACGACUGCUGAGUGACCAUAAACUUACUGCAGGCUGCUGUUUUGCUUAACUUCACUGAUAUACGAGCGCUGAGCGACCACAAACUUACUAGCCCAUGUGCUGCUCUACUGUGUAGCCUUAUUGACUAGCGUCAUUGCGACAUCUCCGACCUCGACGGCACCAGGAACGUUAACUUUUCUCUUCCAUUCUAGGAGAAUUGGUGCGGAUGUUUCCAUUACUGUGAUCAAGGUUACCCGCUAAAGCCAUGGCUAAUGACCCCCCUAACCAACCCGAGGACCGAGCAGGAACAGGCGUACAACCGUGCCCAUGCGCGCUCAAGGAGCACAGUUGAGCGUACAAUAGGCCUGCUGAAAGGACGAUGGCUGUGUCUGUCAAGCACGGGAGAGACACUGAAGUAUCACCCAGAAAAAGCAUGCAAAAUCAUCAUGGCUUGCAGUGUGCUACACAACUUGGCCAUCAGACAGGGCAUCCCUCUGCAGGAACCCCCAAGACCAGACGGCCCUAUGCCCGAUGCAGUGCCCCUGCCACCUCCUAAUGCCGCUGGCAUUCAGACAAGACAGAGGAUCAUACAGACAUUUUAGCACCGCCUCACUCAGCACUCUUGGCGCACGGCCCAUGGAAGGGGCAAUGAAUGGGCCCGGCUCCUUCAAGCUCCUCAGUCACAACGGGUGUCGCUAUUAAGGAAACACAUGUUCACAUUAAUUUAAUUGAGUUUAUCCUAUGAAUGAUUUCAUUAAAAGUUUACA
Carassius auratus (goldfish) is the source of this 1067-nucleotide long non-coding RNA. RefSeq lists it as uncharacterized. NCBI's taxonomy places the organism in Eukaryota, Metazoa, Chordata, Actinopteri, Cypriniformes, Cyprinidae. The record is from RefSeq and is a predicted model, not a curated record. The transcript is spliced from 3 exons.